GUUUGUAGGGUGUAUUACAUGCACGUUAAAUUUUCGUUUUAAAAGAUUUCUUUAAAGAAAUAUAAAUA
This 68-nucleotide transfer RNA is filed under the name Perotrochus quoyanus. RNAcentral describes it as "tRNA-Glu". RNAcentral also lists the same sequence under 1 other name. Lineage: Eukaryota; Metazoa; Mollusca; Gastropoda; Pleurotomariida; Pleurotomariidae. The record is from RNAcentral.